GACGAACGCUGGCGGCGUGCUUAACACAUGCAAGUCGAACGGAAAGGCCUUUUCGGAGGUACUCGAGUGGCGAACGGGUGAGUAACACGUGGGUGAUCUGCCCUGCACUCUGGGAUAAGCCUGGGAAACUGGGUCUAAUACCGGAUAGGACCGCACUUUAGUGUGUGUGGUGGAAAGUUUUUUCGGUGUAGGAUGAGCCCGCGGCCUAUCAGCUUGUUGGUGGGGUAAUGGCCUACCAAGGCGGCGACGGGUAGCCGGACUGAGAGGUUGGUCGGCCACACUGGGACUGAGAUACGGCCCAGACUCCGACGGGAGGCAGCAGUGGGGAAUAUUGCACAAUGGGCGCAAGCCUGAUGCAGCGACGCCGCGUGGGGGAUGACGGCCUUCGGGUUGUAAACUCCUUUCGCCAGGGACGAAGCGUUUUGUGACGGUACCUGGAGAAGAAGCACCGGCUAACUACGUG
Molecule: ribosomal RNA, 463 nt
Filed under: uncultured bacterium
Lineage: Bacteria
Description: partial 16S ribosomal RNA
Rfam family: Bacterial small subunit ribosomal RNA
Source: RNAcentral